GCAAGUCGAGCGGAAACGACACUAACAAUCCUUUGGGUGCGUUAAUGGGCGUCGAGCGGUGGACGGGUGAGUAAUGCCUAGGAAAUUGCCUUGAUGUGGGGGAUAACCAUUGGAAACGAUGGCUAAUACCGCAUAAUGCCUACGGGCCAAAGAGGGGAUCUUCGGACCUCUCGCGUCAAGAUAUGCCUAGGUGGGAUUAGCUAGUUGGUGAGGUAAUGGCUCACCAAGGCGACGAUCCCUAGCUGGUCUGAGAGGAUGAUC
Molecule: ribosomal RNA, 261 nt
Filed under: uncultured bacterium
Lineage: Bacteria
Description: partial 16S ribosomal RNA
Rfam family: Bacterial small subunit ribosomal RNA
Source: RNAcentral